UACAGGGGGAGCAAGCGUUGUUCGGAUUUACUGGGCGUAAAGGGUGCGUAGGCGGCGCGGUAAGUCGGGUGUGAAAUCUCGGGGCUUAACUCCGAAACUGCAUUCGAUACUGCCGUGCUUGAGGACUGGAGAGGAGACUGGAAUUUACGGUGUAGCGGUGAAAUGCGUAGAUAUCGUAAGGAAGACCAGUGGCGAAGGCGGGUCUCUGGACAGUUCCUGACGCUGAGGCACGAAGGUCAGGGGAGCAAGCGGG
RNAcentral lists this ribosomal RNA (253 nucleotides) under uncultured bacterium. RNAcentral describes it as "partial 16S ribosomal RNA". It matches the Rfam family "Bacterial small subunit ribosomal RNA", at positions 524 to 776 of the family's 1533-position model. The record is from RNAcentral.